GUAGAAAGUGUGUGUGAGCUGAUGUGAGCAGCAUGGAUCAGUGUGAGGACAGAGAGGAGGGAGUCCCUCCUUCUAAAACCACUCUGUGUGGGGAACAUGAGAGCCAGACCAAAGCUCAGAGGAACCAACGAGGAAGAAAACGCAAACAUGAACCUGAACCCAGCUGUGUGUCCUGUAAGAGUGACUGGUCUAAAGAUCUCCCCAUUUAUUUUAAAGUCCAGUCUGUGUCUGCUGCAGAGAGGAUCAAUGGGAGACCUGCUGGACCUGAACCCAGCUGUGUGUCCUUACAGAGUGACUGGUCCGAAGAGCGCACCAUUAAUUUUAAAGCCCAGCCUGUGUCUGC
This is a long non-coding RNA of Pelmatolapia mariae (spotted tilapia), 343 nucleotides long. RefSeq lists it as uncharacterized. NCBI's taxonomy places the organism in Eukaryota, Metazoa, Chordata, Actinopteri, Cichliformes, Cichlidae. The record is from RefSeq and is a predicted model, not a curated record. The transcript is spliced from 3 exons.